GAAAAUAAAAUUCUACACCAAUAUGAUGAAUAUAGCUGCAAAAAUCCUCAACUAAAUAUCAGCAAGCUGAAUUCAACAAUACAUU
Mustela erminea (ermine) is the source of this 85-nucleotide long non-coding RNA. RefSeq lists it as uncharacterized. The record is from RefSeq and is a predicted model, not a curated record. NCBI's taxonomy places the organism in Eukaryota, Metazoa, Chordata, Mammalia, Carnivora, Mustelidae. The transcript has 3 exons.